Molecule: small nucleolar RNA, 139 nt
Filed under: Drosophila mojavensis
Lineage: Eukaryota; Metazoa; Arthropoda; Insecta; Diptera; Drosophilidae
Description: snoRNA:GI25327
Source: RNAcentral
GCAAUCAGAAACCAGCUUUUUGGACCACAUUCAAUGACCACAUCAGUUUGGAAAUGAUUGCAAUAAUAAAAUUGAGAUUUUGUGCCAAAUAUGUGACUAUUCAUGCAAGUGACAAGAAUUUGCACAAUGCUUAUACAUU